Molecule: ribosomal RNA, 267 nt
Filed under: Pseudopolydora kempi japonica
Lineage: Eukaryota; Metazoa; Annelida; Polychaeta; Spionida; Spionidae
Description: partial 16S ribosomal RNA
Source: RNAcentral
GCCCUGUUGUCAAUAUGGGCUCUCAAACAGGAUUAGCCUGUUAUCCCUAAGGUAGCUUUUUCUAUCUAUCAUAAGUUUGGAUCUAAAUUAAUGGUCAAGAGAGGUUAAAAAUUCUCUCUAGUUGCCCCAACUAAAUUUUCUUUAUAAGUAUUAUAGCUUUAAAUGAAGCUCUAUAGGGUCUUUUCGUCUUUUUAUGUAAUUCAAGUUUCUUCACUUGAAGAUCAAUUUUUAUAUAUAAAUUAGAGACAGUUUUGCACUCGUAAAUUC